Molecule: ribosomal RNA, 645 nt
Filed under: Triticum aestivum (bread wheat)
Lineage: Eukaryota; Viridiplantae; Streptophyta; Magnoliopsida; Poales; Poaceae
Description: partial small subunit ribosomal RNA
Source: RNAcentral
AUGGCAGGGAGGGACCUGCGGUCGCUUGCUUUCGCUAUUGCACGCUUCCUCCAGAGAGAGAACCAUCGCUUUCCGCGCACCCAUCGCCAUCGUGCUGCAAGUCGUCGUCGCCGUCAGGGACUUGGCGCAAGGAGUGGCCCUCGCCGCCGCUUUUUCGCCUGGAACCACCGCCAGAACCGCCGCCGUGGGUACGCACGCCAAGGCAACCGCCCGCUCCGUGGGCGAGCAACAACGGUGCACCAGGCUGGACCCUCGGCUCCGACAACCGCUGCAAACCAUGCUGGGCCUUCGGCUCCGGCUCCGGCCGUUGCUGACGACUACAUCGUACCGACGACUCCGCCGCCAUCUGUCUUCACCAUCCCUCCUAUGGAUUGGCUCCUUGGAGGUCCAUCGGCGCCAUUCCUCGGAGAAGAAGAGAUGUUCCCUUGCGAACUCGCGCCGCCGCCUCUGCCCCCGUACUGCGUGCGGCACGGGUUCGAAUCGUGCCCAGCGCGUACGGGCGCACCACCGCGGAAGCCGUCUCCGACGCCAUCAGACGAACUGCCGGAGCACUUCAACCCUCCUGGAUACGGCCGCGCCCGGAUCUCCCAUCCCCGACGCCGGCGGCAGCGGGAACCGGCCGCUACCCCUUCAUCCCCGACUUGA